RNAcentral lists this long non-coding RNA (6113 nucleotides) under Sus scrofa (pig). Its description in RNAcentral is "lncRNA (ENSSSCG00030040615.1)". The record is from RNAcentral. Lineage: Eukaryota; Metazoa; Chordata; Mammalia; Artiodactyla; Suidae.
UAUGCUGAGGGUGCAGCCCUAAAAAGAAAAAAAAGAAAUGGUUUCCCAGUUCUGGAGACUAGAAGUCCGAGAUCAAGGUACUGGCCAGUCUGCUUCCUGCUGAGACUGUGAGGGGAGGAGCCAUUCCAGGCCCCUAUCCUAGUUUCCUGUGACUUGUUAUUAAUCUCUGUUCCUUGGUUUUCAGAAGCAGCAUCUUCCUCACUGUCUUCAUCUUCACAGUCAAACAUUGACCAUGUGGUGGUAUUUAAGGUUGCAUAUGUAUAUACAGAAAACUAAGCACUUCUUGUACAUUUACUUUUAUGGCCUGAAAUGGUAUCUGCUACUCGGAGGGAAAAGGAGAUCUGGGUUAAAGUCAGGAGUCUCUCUUGCAGGCUGUGCGCACCACUGGGCAAUGACUCAGCCUUUGUGAACCUUGAGUUCCUCAUCAUUAAAAUGGGUAUGUUAAUAUUAGAUUUAACAUAUGAAACAACACUUUUGUAGGUCAAAAAUUGUUGAGUAUCAGCUAUUUCAUAUGAUUCAACUUAAUACCUACUUCACAGAUAUAGGAAAAACUAAAUAAGAUAAUAUUGUAGCACUGUCCCUGGUGUUUGGUAAAUCAUAAGUACAUGAUUUAUUAAAAUGUAUAUAAAUAAAACCCUAUGGCCUAAUGGUCGUAGUACAACCUAAGCUUAAAAUAUCUGCCCUCUCUGCCAUACAGAACAUGAAUUGCCUAUCAGGAGUCUUCUUUUUUCCCUCCUUCUUUCUUUUCUCCUUCUUUCUUCUUCUUCUCAAAAUUUAAUUUUUAUUCUCUUUCUUCUAUUUCUUUUUAAUGUUUUUUUUUUAAAUAGCUAAUAUGCUUUUAUGGUUCAAAACUCAAAAAGUGUGUAAAAGAAAACCUCUCCCAUAGCAUCACUGUCCUUUAUCUGUCCAGAGUAUUAUGUCUUAUCUAUUUUCCUGAUAUUAAGCACAUUCAAAUGUGUAUACUGUGUGAGUUCUAAAAAUAGCUUUAAAAUAUCUGUAUUUAUAUGAAUAUGAUAUAUGCAUAUUUGUAGUCUAAGACUCAGUUUAUGAAUAAAUAGCUGAGGCCCACAGAAAUGCAGCCCCUUUGCCUGGAGUCAUUCAGAAUCAGUAAGACUUGCAUAUUAAUUAUACUUAUCUGGCACUCUAUGAGACCUCACAUUACAAAUAUUCACUUUAAAUGUAAAUAAUCUUUUUUUAGGCAAAUAAAAUCUUAUUUAUUUAUUUGUUUAUUUAUUGGCAAUGGAAGUCAGGUCAAAGUGCCUCAUUAUUCAAGCUUCGUAUUUGUGAAUUCUCCUACCUGCUAAUGAUUUACUUAUCAUCCCCAAAUAGAUAUCCAUGACAUUUUCCUAGUCAUUCCCAGAUAUGAGUAGAGGGACAAAAAAAUUUGAGUUGCUGAUUGUACACGUUCCCAGGUGAGGUCAAACAAGAUGACACUUGGCCUUCUUAUUUCAGGUCUCAUGCUAUGAACAAGAGUCCUUUUUGUGAUCUAUUUAAUGCUACAUGUUUCACAUUUCUGUGCUUUUAAUGGGUGAUUUUGCUAUUUAAAAUGGCCCCUGUGAGUUCCCAUUGUGGCUCAGCAGUAACAAAUCCAAAUGGUAUCCAUGAGGACUUGGGUUCAGUCCCUGGCCCCACUCAAUGGGUUAAGGAUCAGGUAUUGAUAUAAGCUGUGGUGUAGGUAGCAGAUGCGGCUUGGAUUCCAUGUUACUGAGGCAGCUCCGACAGACCGCUAACAUGGGAACUUCCAUAUGCCGCAGGAGUGGCCCUAAAAAAACCAAAAAAAAUAAAAGCAAUUUAAAAAUGCCCCUCAAAGAUAGUGCUGAAGUGAUAUCUACCACUCCUAAGAAUAAGAGGGCUGUGAUAUGCCUUAAGGACAAAAUACAGUGUUAGAGAAGCUUCUCUCAGGCAUAAAUUAUAGUGUUGUGGGCUGUGAGUUCAAUGUUAGUCAAUGAUAUACACUGAAUAAUGUGUCUUUAGGAGUUCUCUUAUGGUGUGGUGGGUUAAGGAUCCUGCAUUGUCACUACAGUGGCUUGGGUUGCUGCUGUGGCAUGAACCCCUGGCCCGGGAACUUCCACAUGCCAUGGAUGUGAGCUUCUCCUCCCUGCCUCCAAAAGAAGAACACAUUGAAUAAUGUGUCUUUAAUCAGAAACACACAUGACACAAGAUUAUGGGUUCAGUUGAUAAAAAUUUUGUGACCUGAGGCUCAUAGGAACCUAACCCUGUAUUUCCCCUAGGAAUAGUGGUUCAGUAUUCACUAAUUCAAUGCUUGUAGCAACUUUAUAGAGUAUAACUACUACUAAUAAUGAGAAUUGAUGGUAUUUUAGAGUACAACACAUAGAAGUCAAGUUUUCCUCUCUUAGUGUCAGUCUGAUUUAAGUGUUUCUUUAAAAUUGUAGCUAUUGGAGUUCCCAUCGUGGCGCAGUGGUUAACGAAUCUGACUAGGAACCAUGAGGUUGUGGGUUUGAUCCCUGGCCUUGCUCAAUCGGUUAAGGAUCUGGCGUUGCUGUGAGCUGUGGUGUAGGUCACAGACGCAGCUCGGAUCCCAUGUUGCUGUNUCAAAAAAUAAAUAAAAAGUAAAAUGAUAGCUAUGUUACCAUAGCCCACAUUCUAUUUUUUGGCCUUUUAGGGACGUAUCUGUGUACCUGCAGCAUAUGGAGGUUCCCAGGCUAGGGGUUGAAUCGGAAGCUAUAGCCACUGACCUACUCCACAGCCAUAGCAAUGCCAGAUCCAAGCCAUGUCUGCAACCUACAGCAUAGGUCACAGCAAUGCCAGAUCCUUAACCCAGUGAGUAAGGCCAGGGAUCGAACCUGCGUCCUCAUGGAUACUAGUCAGAUUUGUUUCUGCUGAGGCAUGAUAGGAACUCCAGCUUUCUUGAGUUUAAAAAAAUAAAUCCUUUGUUGAUUGCAAAAAUGGCUCCUAAAUGCAGUUUUGGAGGGGAUGGCUUUAAAGCCAUUGUUGGUUUGAGUGGUUCAAAUAUCUUGCUAAUUUCAUAGGCUUUGAACCAAUUAUGAAGUAGAUAGUGUGGCAGUAGCUAUCAAGUUUGCAGUUUGUUUAGGAGUGUUUGUAUUUCUUUUUGGUGUUGAAGAAAUUUACAGUAAUCAUCAGUAGGGAAUUAUGAGUGCACAUCAUUGCAUUAAAACAUGGAAUUCAGCCCUACAUUGCCAUUAAUAGAAAAUGCAGUUUUUAUGUUAAUUAUAAUAAAAAGCAAGUGUUACUGAGCAAGUUUUUACUGAUUAUCCUAUGUAUUGCUAUGAUUACAGUUCCUAACAAAUAUGUUAUAUGUUAUUGAGGAAGUGGUAUAAUUCCUUGUGAUUUACUAAAAUGUAGAUACUUCCUAAAGGGACAACAUAGUAAAUUUUAUCCAUUUCUUACUGUUACUUUAUAUCAUUUUGGACCAUUGUACUUUAUAAAUAAACAUAGACAAUUUUGGUCAGUUAUACCUUACUGUGAAUGAGAUUACCAGAUGUUUUCAUGACCACAGAUUCCACCAGAAGGUAUCAGUGGCAAGAAAUGGGUUGGUGGGAGUUCAAAAGCACAUAGUGAGCUAAUCUGUGUAAACGGGCUUUUGUGGGUUGAAUUGUGUCCUUCUCAAAAAGAUAUGUUUGGAGUUCCCAUUGCGGCUCAGCAGGUUAAGAACCCACCAAGCAUUCAUGAGGAUGCAGGUUUGAUUCCUGGCUUCGCUCAUUGCAUUGAAGGAUCUGGCAUUGCUUUGAGGUGUGGUAUAGGUCGCAGAUGCAGGUCAGAUCUGGCGUUGCUGUGGCUGUGGUGUAGGCCAGCACCUGCAACUCCAAUUCAACUUUUAGCCUGGGAACUUCCAUAUGCUGUGGGUGUGGCCCUAAAAAGAAAAAAAGUUAAAAUGAGACCCUUAGCACAGGCACUAAUCUGGUAUGUCUGGUGUUCCUGCUGAGCCACAAUGGGAACUCCCUGCUAUUCUUAUUAAAAGGGAAAAUUUGGAUACAGAGAGAGGCACACACACAGGGAGAACAAAGAUUUUUCUCUUCCCACUACGUCCCUAGAAUUAUGCCCUGGAGGUACCUUGGGCCCAGCUACCCCAGUUCUCUCCCAGACAUGCCUUCUGCUUCUGCUUCUGCUUCUUGCUGGCAGGGGAUGAGAACUCUGGGAUCUCAUUGCCUUACCCUCAGCUUGUGGGACUCACAUCCCCUGUGCUCUCUGGCAAGAUGUAUACCUCACAGACCAGACCACUGUCUCUGAAACCCUGAAGUCUGCUCACUGCUAGCUUCCUCACUGGCUCUCCUGGAUCCAGACCCUUCCUAGUCGCAGGAAACAGAAGAGUCUGACUCUAACAUUCUGUACACUAUCCGAGUCUUGAGUCUUUUCCAGGCAUUGGCUUUGACAUUUCAAAAGCUUAAUCUUUUGCCUUCAGUAGACUUUUCUCUUAAACUCUCCCCUGCUUACAGUUUUGAAGUCUCUUUUGAAAUGUAAAAAUAUCAGGAAUCAAUUCUGUGCUUUCUUUCAUUUUUUUUCCUUGAGCAAUAAAAGCGAAAUAAUUAGUAGCCUAAAGGGAAAGGGUAUGGGGAGGGGUAGAGAUAACAGGAAAGAAUAGAUAGGAAAGAGGGGGUAUCAGUUAAUGUUCAAAAUACUGUCCUGCCACAUAUGUUUAUUGUUCUUUUCUCACCACAACUUCACAGCGGAUUUGCUGAGAUCCCACUCUUUUUGAAGAAAACUACUCUGGACCAAUGGAAAUGGUUAAACCAUAGGAUUAUAUUACUUUUCGUUUGUGGGCACAUCCAGGUGGAAAUAAGAACUUGCAUUCUUAUCAGCAGAAGGAAAAUUUUUAGCAUAUAGGAAGAACUAUUGUCAGCAUCUGUGGAAAAAGCCUUAGCUUUACUCCCCCAUGGAAGAAAGCCAACGAAAGCCGCCCCAUGAAUUUAACUUGAUAGAUGUUGAUUCUCUGCCUGAAGAAGAGAACCAAGCUGGGAAAGCUGGACUGGAAAGUAGGAAGAGUUUGCUUCCAUAAGACCAAUGGUCUGUCUGUGACAGACAGUGGCUCAGUUUUGACAAGCAUGUAGAGAGUACACACAUUGGCCGAAUCCUGCAUUGGAGGUCAGAGAUAUAAAGAAUCCGUUAUUACGCCUGGGAAAAGUAAAUCUAAGUAGAUGUUCUCAUGUUUCCCCACUUCACGCUAGUACACUACCUCAGUGUGCUGUGCUAGGGGAGAAUCUGCCUGGACUGCGCACUGGAGGAGUUUAAGGUCUUGGAGCCUACGUCAGGUGGAACAUGCCCAACUUACUGGUCACCAUUAUAAUCUCACCAGGAUACCAUAUGGUCAGUACUGUAUUAUAGGUAAUCUAAUACUAGCUACAAGAAUUUUGUUGGAACCAGUGACUCCAAGCUCCUUCUAUAUAGCAAAUCUUCAACUAGGUUAGCUACUGCAGAACAAAACUGCUUUUGGUUUUAGCUGCUUGUUUUCCUCCUCUUUGGUCACAUGGCUUAUUAUUUCUAUUUUUAUAGUCAACACUUGGCUAAAUGGCAAGUACUUGCAGGGUGUCAUUUAUCAAAAUCUGUUUUAGUUUUAAUUAAUUAGUUAAUUUAGUCUUCUUUAUGCUAUGGAUUAAAAAAACUCUUUGUAUCAGAGAGAUGGUACUUAAUAUGUUUUAGCUUUUCGUCCAUAAUCCAGUUGAUAAGAGGUGUUUUUUUUUUUUACAUUUUAUUGAAGUAUAGUUGACUUACAGUGUUGUGAUAAUUUCUGCUGUACAACGAAGUGAGUCAGUUAUACACACAUCCAUUCUCUUUCAGAUUCUUUUUCCAUAUAGAUUAUCACAGAAUAUUAGGUAGAGUUCUCUGUUCUGUACAGCAGGUCCCCAUUCACCAAUCAUUCCACAUACUUCAGAAUAAGAGUUUUAAGAACUAUUGUAUUUUAUGUAGAUAAUUAUGUAAUUUGCUAUUUGCAUAUGUAAGGAAUCUUUGAAUAUUCAUGAGGAAUAAAGGCCCUGAAGUCAGAAAAGGUGGGAUCCAAAUCUUGGCUCCAACACAAGAUGGUUUAGAAAUAUGUAAGAAAAAAGGAUGUAUACAUGUAUGUAUGACUGGGUCACCCUGACUGUAGAAGAUUGGCAGAACACUGUAAAGCAGCUAUAAUGGAAAAAAUAAAAAUCUUU